Molecule: transfer RNA, 73 nt
Filed under: Harveyella mirabilis
Lineage: Eukaryota; Rhodophyta; Florideophyceae; Gigartinales; Choreocolacaceae
Description: tRNA-Thr
Rfam family: tRNA
About the family: Transfer RNA (tRNA) molecules are approximately 80 nucleotides in length. Their secondary structure includes four short double-helical elements and three loops (D, anti-codon, and T loops).
Source: RNAcentral
GCUAGUGUAGCUUAAUUGGUAGAGCAACUGAUUUGUAAUCAGUAGGUCAUAGGUUCAAAUCCUUUCACUAGCU